This 427-nucleotide ribosomal RNA is filed under the name uncultured bacterium. Its description in RNAcentral is "bacterial SSU rRNA". It matches the Rfam family "Bacterial small subunit ribosomal RNA", at positions 355 to 774 of the family's 1533-position model. The record is from RNAcentral.
UGGGGAAUAUUGGACAAUGGGGGAAACCCUGAUCCAGCGACGCCGCGUGUGUGAAGAAGGCCUGCGGGUUGUAAAGCACUUUUAGUGGGGACAAAAAGCCAGGGGCUAACACCAUCUGGUCUUGAUUUAACCCACAGAAAAAGCACCGGCUAACUCUGUGCCAGCAGCCGCGGUAAUACAGAGGGUGCAAGCGUUAAUCGGAAUUACUGGGCGUAAAGCGCGCGUAGACGGUUUUGUAAGUCAGAUGUGAAAUCCCCGGGCUCAACCUGGGAACUGCAUUUGAUACAGCUUGGCUAGAGUACGGUAGAGGGAAGUGGAAUUUCCGGUGUAGCGGUGAAAUGCGUAGAUAUCGGAAGGAACACCAGUGGCGAAAGCGACUUCCUGGACCAGUACUGACGUUCAUGUGCGAAAGCGUGGGGAGCAAACA